Molecule: long non-coding RNA, 4292 nt
Filed under: Triticum aestivum (bread wheat)
Lineage: Eukaryota; Viridiplantae; Streptophyta; Magnoliopsida; Poales; Poaceae
Description: long non-coding RNA (TAES_LNC012252)
Source: RNAcentral
AGUUGUACUAUUGAGACCAUACCACCAUAUCUUCUUUUAGUUUCUUUGGUAAUUUAAAGGUCUAAAAGGACGGUACAUGUGAGAAGCUGUGAGUCCACAACAAAAAACUAAACUAACUUCCAAAAAAACAUUUCAAGUUUGGAAGCCACAAAGAAGCAACCCAGAUCUCUCGUUGUAGUGCAGGCUCAAGAAAAUGGGUCGAAUGACCAUCAUAGCAACAUGUAGAAGCAGAAAAAAUAUAGGCUUGGUGUGUAACUGAUCAUGAAAGAUAGCUUGAUCAGUUUCUCCAAUGUUGGCUUAUGCUGAGCAAGUACAUCAAUCUGCAGAGAAGAAAAAUGGAGGACUGCUUUAUUCUGUGGUACAUCCACAAUAGUAUAGCAAAUAAAGUAGUUAAAUGUACGCUAAGAUGUAAGACCUUUUAGAUUACUAUUUUAGUGAUCUAAAAAGUAAGGAGUGAUCUAAAAGCUCUUGUAUUAGUUUGAAGAGGGAGUACUUAAUAAGACUGUAAGCCAGCACAUCAAAGUAAUGCCGGCUUCCCAUUGAUUUGAGCAAACCAAUAUGACAGAGGGAAGGUGAAACUUCAGAAGACCAUAUAAAUUGACCGUGAUGUCUUAAUUUAAAACUUUGAAAUGAAGUAGUAAACAUUAAGUCUCAAUGUUAUCACUAAAAAAGCAUAAAAAAAGACAGACCAGCCAGCAGUGCAUCAUAAUUAGCGGUUCAUCAUGGGCAAACCAGGCAGUAGUAGCCUAAUAACUUAGACGAAAAAAAUGCAAGAAGUCAAAGCACAAGGUGGGAAAUAGGACCAAGCAUUGACACCGAGCAUUGACAGAUAACCAAAUAAUGAAGGAAUAUCCCCAAAUGAUGCAAGAGGUGAGAGAGGAGCACCUAGGCCUAGCAGAGGUUUGUGGACUACCUCUUUAUGCCACACCAUAUCCACAUCCCUAGCGCUUAACGUACUCGCUGCUAUUGCCGUCUCUACCUUAUUUCCUCCAUUGCCGGUUCGUGGACUACCUCUUCAGGACACGCCGAAUACAUAUCCUCUCCUUCACCAGCUGGUAGUUUCGCCCUUCAAUUAUGCCACUAACAAAUAAAAAGAGAACACUAUGAUCAAGUUGAUAAGGCUUACGACCGUAUGUGAGGAAAGCAAAUAAUUCAUGCUUGUCAACACCAUAGUGUACAAUUUUAGCAGAAAGCACAUCAUCGUUCUAGAAGAAAAUAGGUGGAAGCAUAAGAAAGCAAUUAAACAAUCUCUCCAGAGGCACUCACAUGGUAAAAUCCAAAACAUCGAAAGCAAUAUAUUAUUUUUGCGAAAUGUACAGGAUUCAAGAAACUGAGUACCAUCAAAAGUAGUCUGCUAUCCAUAUCCAGAACUCUAAUUCUUACAUACUAGCUAAAAGUUUUAUUGGUUGAGACCAUUUUUGGAUCACCCACCAGCAAGUAUGCAUGGUUCAUAUGUGAAGAGAAACUAACAAUUACAACCAAUAACCAAUUAGCCAACACAUGAAAAACUAUCCUAAACCACUAUGACUACUAAUUCACCAAUACCAUAGAUGAUAGCACCGUGCUAUUAUAAGUUUCUUCAUGAUUCACCAUAUAAAAAGAUUAUACCUCUUCUACAUAGCAGCACAAGACGUUUAAGCAAGGAAGGAAAAGAGUAAGUUUAAUUUCUUUUCACCUAUUUCUUAUCAAUGGAGAUGGAAAAUGCUCUAGUCUAUUUUUAAUGUUUUAUCUUGUCCACCUAUUUGUAGAUAGGCCUUUUUGUAACAUGACAACCUGAAAUUUAUUAAGAGACAUGAAACUUUUAUUAUCUGAUCGAAAGAACAAAAGUUAGUAAAUAUUUGCUACAAGUACCUAACAGGAACAAGUGCAGCCUCAGUCUUUUUUAGAAGGCUAGUACAUAUUACAAACCAGGAAACAAUGGUUGAAAUAUGUGCUAUGAUGCAGUUUCGAAACACGGUUUCAUGGUUGGCCAUGAUAAGUGUCAAAUGUUUUCUCCUUUUUAUUCGGGGUCCAUUAGGGUCAUAGCUGAUGGUACCUUAUAAACAGAAUUUUUAGAACAGAUUGCAGCUUGUAUAAGAUAGACAGGUUUAGUAAGUAUCAUAUUUAAUCGAAAAGCAAAAUAAUCGUUUAAGUAUUUACAUGUCUAGAUCCAAGGUUUGAGAAAUCAAUAAAGUGCCCUCCCCAGAAAUCACAGUGAAAGCAAGUAAAUAACCCAAGCUUGGUGUGGCACCACAAUAAAGAGGAUCAUAAAGGAAAAAAAAUAGAGGAUCAUACAGAAUAAUCAGGAAUCUGUACACACAGCUUACUACAGAUUACUCAUGCUUCAGAAUCAAUCAACAUGCUUGAUGCCGCACCACAAUAAGUAGCACAUGGAUAUUCUAACUCACAGGACAACCUAUAUAAUGUCGUCUUGCCUUGCAUUUGCACCUCUCAUUGCAUCGACCACCAAGGUAACAUAAAAAAGCAUGCCAACCAAGAUAAACCAAAUCAUGGACUUGGACAGGAAAAUCAAAGAGAGGGAAAACCUGUGGAUGGGUUAGAUAGCAAGUCACCGGCGAGGGCGCCUAGGUCUGGCCGACAACACCCGGCCCCACACAUAGUUCAGAAGCAGUCUACCACAUAAUCAGAUGGCAUGAAAGUACCAAUAGUGACCAACCAAACCAAAUAAACCACAUGAAUGGUUGUGAAUGAAGGCAGAAUCAUAUGCAUCUCACAACUAACAAAUUUAACUGAUAAUUCAAGAUACUAAAGAUCUGCUCUGCAUUUUCAACAGUGAGAAUAGUAAAGAUCUCGAAUGCAAUAAAAAAACAAGGAAGCAAACAAGUUGCACAUGAUUUAAUUGACGUCGCGUAACUUCUAAAGUUUUCCCCUUAUAUGACAACCUUCUUCCCAGCAAGAGUCAUUACAGUAUUUAGAUAUCUUGUAUAAAAAAGAUCAAGAACUGAAAACUACAUUCGGCAAGACAUCCUCUCUACAAAAGGAAAUUCCCAGAUAAAACAUUAGCCGAUUCAGUGCAUAUCUCCAAGGCUCAUGUAAGGAAAUUGUCAAAAAGGAGUAAACUGAUUGGAAGGAGCUGCAAUACCCAAGGAUCGGUUGGAGACGGCGAGGUCAACAAGGACGCCUAUCCAAGCAUGUUUCUUCUGUCAUAAGCUUUAUUUUACUUCAUCAUGAAGUUAUGAAAAAAGCCAUCUUAGUAUGAGCUUUCGAGCUUUAAACCAACCAUUUUCAUGAAUAAAUUAGUUGCUUCAGUUCUAUUGGGCUGUAUCAUAUAACAAAAAACAGAACAAAAAAAAGUUUCUUUACCAAUGUUGUAAUUGUCUUGAGUAAAUGGAAGUUAAGAUGAAUGAGAAUCCUUGAAGCAAACACAAAUUAAAAAAUCUGCCACCGCAAUCCUCAAUGUCCGCUGUUCCUCUCUCUAUGGUCAGGCAUUAAAACCAAAACAGCCUAACCAGCCCACAUUAAAGCAAAAAAUGGAAAACACGACAUCCUCUAUUGUAGAAUUAAGAAAAAUAUGCUCUCCGGGGAUAGAUUGGUUCACCUUGAGGUACAGAAUAAUUUGAACUCCUACAAAACAUUACAUUGUUUGCUUCAGUAUAUGACCCGUUCAAUCUGAAAAGAAUUCAAAAUUUUCAUCCAAAUUCUUGCAAUUCUUCCUACUGUGUUGAGCUUGUAAUAGUGAUAUUAGUAUAAGUAUUUUAUUCUCUUUCUCUAGCUAGAAAUCUCCAAUCUGAAGUUUCAAGACACUGAUCAAAGUAUAUUAUGGAAGAAAAGAAGCUCAUUCCACUAUGAAUAUAAUUAUUUGGCUCACACUUGUGAAUCAAGAAAGGAAGGAAGCGAACCUGAUGGUGUUGGUGUAUUGCGGCUCAAGCCAGUGUGCUCACUUGCCGCUGCGUGUUGUUGGCUUCGCGCCACAAGACUCACCAUGUCCUGACCAAUGCAACACACAUAAGAUCACCGUCAUAACCCAAGAGAAGUAGGGAAGUAUGUAACUAAUAAAAAAUAGAUGUAGCAAGUGCAAGGUAGGCUUAGUGGUGCUUAGAACUUACUUCAAUUUUAUUCCAAAGGAUGUACACCGGUCAUCUUCCUCGCUGGUCCCCGACAUUGCCACAUGCCACCCUUCGAGAAGACAGUAGAGGGAUGAUUCUUCAACUGAAGACGAAGAAAUGAAGGAAGAGCAAAAAUUUACCUGAGCAUUGGACCGGCGCCAUUCAUGGAUGGAGCUUGGAGGAACCCUCUUCUCCACUUCUCUCGAUCCACUGCCUCUAUUACUGCCUUGCACCAUGCAUCCGAGC